UGCGUAGGGGGCAAGCGUUGUCCGGAGUUACUGGGCGUAAAGCGCGCGCAGGCGGCUUUUUAAGUUUGGAGUGACAGUUGGUGGCUUAACUGCCAAAGUGCUUUGAAAACUGAAAGACUUGAGGGCUUCAGAGGGACACGGAAUUCCGGGUGGAGUGGUGAAAUGCGUAGAGAUCCGGAGGAACACCAAAGGCGAAGGCAGUGUCCUGGGGAGUACCUGACGCUCAGGUGCGAAAGCCAGGGGAGCGAACGGG
RNAcentral lists this ribosomal RNA (253 nucleotides) under uncultured bacterium. RNAcentral's name for it is "partial 16S ribosomal RNA". It matches the Rfam family "Bacterial small subunit ribosomal RNA", at positions 524 to 776 of the family's 1533-position model. The record is from RNAcentral.